GGGAUUGCCCUAGUAACGGCGAGUGAAGCGGCAACAGCUCAAAUUUGAAAUCUGGCCCUUGUGGUCCGAGUUGUAAUUUGUAGAGGAUGCUUUUGGUGCGGUGCCUUCCGAGUUCCCUGGAACGGGACGCCAGAGAGGGUGAGAGCCCCGUACGGUUGGACGCCUAGCCUAUAUAUAGCUCCUUCGACGAGUCGAGUAGUUUGGGAAUGCUGCUCUAAAUGGGAGGUAAAUUUCUUCUAAAGCUAAAUACCGGCCAGAGACCGAUAGCGCACAAGUAGAGUGAUCGAAAGAUGAAAAGCACUUUGAAAAGAGGGUUAAAUAGCACGUGAAAUUGUUGAAAGGGAAGCGUUUACGACCAGACCUUCUCCAGGGGGAUCAUCAGGUGUUCUCACCUGUGCACUUCCCCUGGUUUAGGCCAGCAUCGGUUUUCUUAGGGGGAUAAAGGCUUGGGGAACGUAGCUCCUUAGGGAGUGUUAUAGCCCCUUGCGUAAUACCCCUCGGGGGACCGAGGACCGCGCUCUGCAAGGAUGCUGGCGUAAUGGUCGUCAACGACCCGUCUUGAAACACGGACCAAGGAGUCGAACAUUUGUGCGAGUGUUUGGGUGUUAAACCCUCACGCGUAAUGAAAGUGAACGGAGGUGAGAGCCCUUACGGGUGCAUCAUCGACCGAUCCUGAUGUCUUCGGAUGGAUUUGAGUAAGAGCAUAACUGUUCGGACCCGAAAGAUGGUGAACUAUGCGUGGAUAGGGUGAAGCCAGAGGAAACUCUGGUGGAGGCUCGCAGCGGUUCUGACGUGCAAAUCGAUCGUCAAAUCUGCGCAUGGGGGCGAAAGACUUAUCGAACCAUCUAGUACUGGUCCGA
Molecule: ribosomal RNA, 860 nt
Filed under: Hypoxylon sp.
Lineage: Eukaryota; Fungi; Ascomycota; Sordariomycetes; Xylariales; Hypoxylaceae
Description: partial large subunit ribosomal RNA
Rfam family: Eukaryotic large subunit ribosomal RNA
Source: RNAcentral